This 2262-nucleotide long non-coding RNA is filed under the name Triticum aestivum (bread wheat). RNAcentral describes it as "long non-coding RNA (TAES_LNC009900)". The record is from RNAcentral. Lineage: Eukaryota; Viridiplantae; Streptophyta; Magnoliopsida; Poales; Poaceae.
AUUAUUAAAUGGGCGUAGGAAUAAAGUACAAAUCAUCUGCAGUCCUAUACAUCUGAAAUAUCAGAACAUGAUCCCAGCCACACCUGACAAGUUACAACACUUGAAGCUGAUGUGAAUGGUAAAAUAAGCAAGUACAUUGAUACAACAUGCUACUUCAGACUAAUUAUAAAUGAAUAAUCAAUUACAACUCCAGUUUUGCUGGAUUAGUAUACUGCAAGAUUAAAAGACUACUUCAGCCUAAUUCAGUAAUUUUAAUAAAUUAAUGAAUCUUGGUGCUCGCAUUAUUCCUGAAUUUAUUUCAAGAUUUCUGGUGAUGCGCUUUCAGUGGGAGGAGACGUUCCCGUCGACGACGAGGCGCCUACGGUGACUUCGUAAAUCUCAAGAUGAUAUGCCAACUCAGUCUUUCGGAGGUGCUCGUAGGUAGGGUGUGCGUGUGUGCGUUCAUAGGGGUGAGUGUAUGCGCGUGCAUACGAGCGCUUAUGUCUGUAUUGAUGCUCAAUUUAUUUCAGGAUUUCAGGUGAUGCAGUUUCAAUGGGAAGAGACGUUUCCGUCGACGACGGGGCGCCUACGUGACUUCGUAAAUCUCAAGAUGAUAUGACAGUUCAGUCUCUUGGAGGUGUUCAUAGGGGUAGGGUGUGCGUGUGUGCGUUCAUAGGGGUGAGUAUGCGCGUGUAUACGAGCGCUUAUGUCUGUACUGAUGCUCAAAUAGUUUUAUACUGCCCCCGUUCUUAAAUAUAAGCCUUUUUAAAGAUUCCAAUACAGACUACACACAGCAAAAUGAGUGAAUCUACACUCUAAAAUACGUCUAUAUACAUAUUAGCAGUCAGUAUCAAGUUUGAAUGGGAGUAUUAUUAAAUGGGCGUCUAUAUACAUAUUAGCUGCUUAUACGUCUAUAUACAUAUUAGCAACCAGUAUCAAGUUUGAAUACGUCUAUAUACAUAUUAGCUGUUUAUAUACAUAUUAGCUGUUUAUAGACAUAUUAGCAACCAGUAUCAAGUUUGAAUACGUCUAUAUACAUAUUAGCUAUUUAUAGACAUAUUAGCAACCAGUAUCAAGUUUGAAUACGUCUAUAUACAUAUUAGCUGCUUAUAUUUAGGGAGUAUAUUAUUAAAUGGGCGUAGGAAUAAAGUACAAAUUAUCUACAGUCCUAUACAUCUGAAAUAUCAGAACAUGAUCCCAGCCACACCUGACAAGUUACAACACCUGAAGCUGAUGUGAAUGGUAAAAUAAGCAAGUACAUUGAUACAACAUGUUACUUUAGACUAAUUAUAAAUGAAGAAUCAAUUACAACUCCAGCUUUGCUGGAUUAGUAUACUGCAAGAUUAAAAGGCUACUUCAGGUGAUGCGCUUUGAGUGGGAGGAGACGUUCCGUCGACGAUGAGGCGCCUACGGUGACUUCGUAAAUCUCAAGAUAAUAUGCCAGCUCAGUCUCUCGGAGGUGCUCAUAGGGGUAGGGUGUGUGUGUGUGUGCGUUCAUAGGGGUGAGUGUAUGCGCGUGCAUACGAGCGCUUAUGUCUGUACUGAUGCUCAAUUUAUUUCAGGAUUUUCGGUGAUGCACUUUCAGUGGGAGGAGACGUUUCCGUCGACGACGAGGCGCCUACGUGACUUCGUAAAUCUCAAGAUGAUAUGCCAGUUUAAUCUCUCGGAGGUGCUCAUAGGGGUAGGGUGUGCGUGUGUGCAUUCAUAGGGGUGAGUGUAUGCGCGUGUAUACGAGCGCUUAUGUUUGUACUGAUGCUCAAAUAGUUUUAUAGUCCCCCCAUUCUUAAAUAUAAGCCUUUUUAAAAAUUCCAAUACAGACUACAUACAGAGCAAAAUGAGUGAAUAUAUACUCUAAAAUACGUCUAUAUACAUAUUAGCAGCCAGUAUCAAGUUUGAAUGGGAGUAUUAUUAAAUAGGCGUCUAUAUACAUAUUAGCUGCUUAUACGUCUAUAUACAUAUUAGCAACCAGUAUCAAGUUUGAAUACGUCUAUAUACAUAUUAUCUGCUUAUAGACAUAUUAGCAACCAGUAUCAAGUUUGAAUACGUCUAUAUACAUAUUAGCUGCUUAUAUUUAGGGAGUAUAUUAUUAAAUGGGCGUAAGAAUAAAAUACAAAUCAUCUGUAGUCUUAUACAUCUGAAAUAUCAGAACAUGAUCCCAGCCACACCUGACAAGUUACAACACCUGAAGCUGAUGUGAAUGGUAAAAUAAGCAAGUACAUUGAUACAACAGGCUACUUCAGACUAAUUAUAACUGAAGAAUCAAUUACAACUCCAGCUUUGCUG